UUGUAGAUAGGAAUCAAGAAACUUGCGAGAUGAUAUUUACAGGUCAGUCUUUUCGACAGUAUCGUGGAAUCACGUUGUACAACUGAUCGAUACGACAUAGACAUUGUGACACCAUUACGAAGUAAUUGCACAAUCACACGUGACCCAUCGUACUAGACUGUUAAUUGCUGGAAGGUGUUGGGUCGCGUCAAGGUUGGGAACUGCAGAUAAAUAAAAAGUGGGGAGGUCUAUGAAAUCGUAACGUAUACGCGACGCCAUCGACCAAAUAAACCGAGAGGAACACAAUCUCGUUUAUUUCUGAAAGAAGAACUUCGCGAUGUGCAGUAUCAAGGUGUGAACAAAAUUCUUGUAAUAAGUCUUGCGAAGAUAUUUCCGACGUUGGAAUACAAAUUGAAGAAUCGAUAAUUGGAACUCUUUAUCAGAAGUCUGCCAAUCAUGCAAGGACGCCGCAUUUCGAGAUUCGAAUUGGCAAUUAGACAGAUUCAAGAUUCGCUUCUUCCGGUUGUGGAUCUCCCUAAGCAACGAUUGGUCACGAUUAAUAUGCGUUUCGAAUCGUGCAGGGAAUCGGAGGAAUAUAAAAAAUUAUCCUUCGUUUAAAAGUUAAUGGGUCGCCCAACGCAAAGGAAACAUUAAAAUUCGCACGGGACAAUGAAUAGUGACGAUAUUAAGUUUUACGAAAAUUAGAACAUCUAUAGAUACGUAUAUCGUAAUUAGUAAUUUGGGAAUCAACUUUCUUGCUAUUUCUUGUUCCAAAUUUCGUGUUUUCCAACCUGCAUAAAUAUUGGACGAGUAAAUACUGGAGAGACCAGAGGCGAUCCUGACAUUGAAUAAUAUGAAUUUAAAGAUAAUGACACUUAAAGUAUAUACGUACGAUCAACGUGGCACGAGAGUCAACGUUUACCGAUUUAAUCAUUUAAAAUCAAAAUUUGACAAUUUUUAAGCAACUUAACGGAUCUGUGCGAUCCAAAAUGAAAAUCCUAUUACAUGAAUAUUAUUAAAAUAUAGAUAGCGAUGAA
Molecule: long non-coding RNA, 1016 nt
Organism: Bombus pascuorum
Lineage: Eukaryota; Metazoa; Arthropoda; Insecta; Hymenoptera; Apidae
Exons: 3
Source: RefSeq, a predicted model, not a curated record